This 1465-nucleotide ribosomal RNA is filed under the name Staphylococcus aureus M1532. Its description in RNAcentral is "bacterial LSU rRNA". It matches the Rfam family "Bacterial large subunit ribosomal RNA", at positions 536 to 2004 of the family's 2925-position model. Lineage: Bacteria; Bacillati; Bacillota; Bacilli; Caryophanales; Staphylococcaceae. The record is from RNAcentral.
GAGUGAAAUAGAACCUGAAACCGUGUGCUUACAAGUAGUCAGAGCCCGUUAAUGGGUGAUGGCGUGCCUUUUGUAGAAUGAACCGGCGAGUUACGAUUUGAUGCAAGGUUAAGCAGUAAAUGUGGAGCCGUAGCGAAAGCGAGUCUGAAUAGGGCGUUUAGUAUUUGGUCGUAGACCCGAAACCAGGUGAUCUACCCUUGGUCAGGUUGAAGUUCAGGUAACACUGAAUGGAGGACCGAACCGACUUACGUUGAAAAGUGAGCGGAUGAACUGAGGGUAGCGGAGAAAUUCCAAUCGAACCUGGAGAUAGCUGGUUCUCUCCGAAAUAGCUUUAGGGCUAGCCUCAAGUGAUGAUUAUUGGAGGUAGAGCACUGUUUGGACGAGGGGCCCCUCUCGGGUUACCGAAUUCAGACAAACUCCGAAUGCCAAUUAAUUUAACUUGGGAGUCAGAACAUGGGUGAUAAGGUCCGUGUUCGAAAGGGAAACAGCCCAGACCACCAGCUAAGGUCCCAAAAUAUAUGUUAAGUGGAAAAGGAUGUGGCGUUGCCCAGACAACUAGGAUGUUGGCUUAGAAGCAGCCAUCAUUUAAAGAGUGCGUAAUAGCUCACUAGUCGAGUGACACUGCGCCGAAAAUGUACCGGGGCUAAACAUAUUACCGAAGCUGUGGAUUGUCCUUUGGACAAUGGUAGGAGAGCGUUCUAAGGGCGUUGAAGCAUGAUCGUAAGGACAUGUGGAGCGCUUAGAAGUGAGAAUGCCGGUGUGAGUAGCGAAAGACGGGUGAGAAUCCCGUCCACCGAUUGACUAAGGUUUCCAGAGGAAGGCUCGUCCGCUCUGGGUUAGUCGGGUCCUAAGCUGAGGCCGACAGGCGUAGGCGAUGGAUAACAGGUUGAUAUUCCUGUACCACCUAUAAUCGUUUUAAUCGAUGGGGGGACGCAGUAGGAUAGGCGAAGCGUGCGAUUGGAUUGCACGUCUAAGCAGUAAGGCUGAGUAUUAGGCAAAUCCGGUACUCGUUAAGGCUGAGCUGUGAUGGGGAGAAGACAUUGAGUCUUCGAGUCGUUGAUUUCACACUGCCGAGAAAAGCCUCUAGAUAGAAAAUAGGUGCCCGUACCGCAAACCGACACAGGUAGUCAAGAUGAGAAUUCUAAGGUGAGCGAGCGAACUCUCGUUAAGGAACUCGGCAAAAUGACCCCGUAACUUCGGGAGAAGGGGUGCUCUUUAGGGUUAACGCCCAGAAGAGCCGCAGUGAAUAGGCCCAAGCGACUGUUUAUCAAAAACACAGGUCUCUGCUAAACCGUAAGGUGAUGUAUAGGGGCUGACGCCUGCCCGGUGCUGGAAGGUUAAGAGGAGUGGUUAGCUUCUGCGAAGCUACGAAUCGAAGCCCCAGUAAACGGCGGCCGUAACUAUAACGGUCCUAAGGUAGCGAAAUUCCUUGUCGGGUAAGUUCCGACCCGCACGAAAGGCGUAA